Molecule: ribosomal RNA, 275 nt
Filed under: uncultured prokaryote
Description: partial 16S ribosomal RNA
Rfam family: Bacterial small subunit ribosomal RNA
Source: RNAcentral
UACGUAGGGGUCGAGCGUUGUCCGGAGUUACUGGGCGUAAAGCGCAUGCAGGCGGCUCAUUACGCAUGGCGUGAAAGCCCCCGGCUCAACCGGGGAGGGUCGUCGUGAACGGGUGAGCUUGAGGGUAUCAGGGGCUGGUGGAAUUCCCGGUGUAGUGGUGAAAUGCGUAGAGAUCGGGAGGAACACCUGUGGCGAAGGCGGCCAGCUGGGAUACACCUGACGCUGAGAUGCGAAGGCGUGGGGAGCGAACGGGAUUAGAUACCCCUGUAGUCCCU